RNAcentral lists this ribosomal RNA (418 nucleotides) under Propallene longiceps. Its description in RNAcentral is "bacterial SSU rRNA". It matches the Rfam family "Eukaryotic small subunit ribosomal RNA", at positions 1 to 397 of the family's 1831-position model. Lineage: Eukaryota; Metazoa; Arthropoda; Pycnogonida; Pantopoda; Callipallenidae. The record is from RNAcentral.
UACCUGGUUGAUCCUGCCAGUAGUCAUAUGCUUGUCUCAAAGAUUAAGCCAUGCAUGUGCAAGUACAUGCCGAACUAAGGCGAAACCGCGAAUGGCUCAUUAAAUCAGUUAUGGUUCCUUAGAUCGUAACACCCACUUGGAUAACUGUGGUAAUUCUAGAGCUAAUACAUGAACGCAUGCCCCGACCUCUGGUCAAAAGGAGGGAAGGGCGCUUUUAUUAGACCAAAACCAAUGCGGGUCACUAGUUUGGCCUGCAAACGGUGGUGACUCUGGAUAACUUUCGGCCGAUCGCACGGUCUUCGUACCGGCGACGUGUCUUUCAAAUGUCUGCCUUAUCAACUGUCGAUGGUAGGUUAUGCGCCUACCAUGGUCGUAACGGGUAACGGGGAAUCAGGGUUCGAUUCCGGAGAGGGAGCCU